AUCGUAUCAUUCGUUGCCACGUAUGUCGGUAUGCGAGCGAAAUGUCGAGUGUGUUUGGUGACGUGUUAAAACGCGGCCAUUUCCACCGGUCGUGAACGAGAUAGAGAGCAUGUUGCGUGAGAUAGAGAGUGUGUGAGAGAGAGAGAGAGAAAGAGAGUAUGCGUACAAAAGGAAUGGAAAGAGAGAGAAAGUUUAAAAGACAUUGAUACCUUUAUAUAAGUUCAUAACUUGGAAUUUGCAAAUUCAUCGUCAAAUCCACUGUGAUCGCGGUUUACUUCGAUGAUUUUAUUUCUGUUGCCACGCGCUUUCUUUCAAUUCUCUUCUUUUCUUCUGCUUUUUCUUCUCUUUGUACUUCUCUUAUUCUUGUGUACUAGUAACAUGAACGUUAGAAAGCGAUUGAGAGAAAAAACGAAGAUGGUCGGUUAUAAUACAUUCGGGUGCUGGAGGGUUAAUUCGAUGGGGAGUUCCUCGAAUUCCGCAUAUGGUGUAGUUAAGGAGAACAGAAAAGAGAGAUGACAAUGAGAGGAAAGCAUAACGAGGAGAUGGAUCUUUUAGUAUCGGGGACAUAUAAGUCGCGUUUAAAGUAAUUUGGACCCGCGACUGUCACGCGUGCCGGCUUAUGCCGGUUCACACCGCAUUCCGGCCAAGCUUCACGAAACGAAGGCAAAUCAUUCGAUAUCGAAAUCUUCAGAAAUAACAACAGUGAUUCAACGGUUGUUUUUUUUGGUGAUGCUCACCGGAAUUCGAAAGAAGAGAUAUGGCGAUCGAUGUGGCGAAAAGAAACGAGGAAACGUUCCGUAAUAGUGGUGUGCCGCUGGCUAACCUGCCGGCUAACCUUGUUCACCGGAAGAGACAAAACACGUGCACGCCAGCCAGAUCGCUAAUAACUGGCUUUAUGGUUAACAAAGAAGACUAUCUGAUAUCUGGAGAAACGUCGGAUCCAAUUCUACAGUGUCCGCCGGAAAAACUGAAAAGCGCGACUCGAAUGUUCUUUCCACGACAAGCACGCAGAGUUUCUCAACUCGAACACUUGUAUUCUUUUCAACGAAUAAAACGAAUUAAAACUACAAACAAAGAGUUCAUUUCACUAAUCGUAUCUGUAUGUAUAUGUGUAACAUUCAUCCGCUUCAAUAAUCAACAUUAUCGAUGCAAUCGUCUUAUCAUCGUGCAGUACUCCCUUAUAUAUUAUAUUCGCGAUCGUUCGGGAACAAUCAGUAAACUUUCGUAGCAUCCGUGAUCAUUAAAAAAAAAAAAAAAAAAAAAAAAAAAAAAAAGAAAGAAACAGUCAUCACAGAUGGACGUAUAACAAUUAUAGUAACGCAUCGUUUGUAAUCGAUUCGGUGCAACCUUGACUCGAUGGUUUCCGAAUUAUUUUCACGUAGACUGCAGACCAUCGAGCUCGACUGUGGGACAUUUGGGGGCCUCUCCACUGCUCACCGGCGCUUAAAAUUCUCCGUUUUACAGUUCACUAGCACGAUCAAUAACGCAUUUCUCGCUCAUUUGCAACUCUCGGCCGAAACCGUAUUGAAAUCGUUUUCGCUACGCGAUGAUAGUUUCGCGUUAAACGGCAAUCGAGAUCAAAGAUCGAUCGUUCGAAGAUACGAAGUACCAAAAAUUGCACAUUCGUCUCUCUCGUCACGGAAUGAAUUCUAUUGCAUCGUUACCAAGUGUGCGAGUAACUGGGCGAUACAGGUUGAGUCGGGUCGAGAAAUUCGAUUUUCGGUGACGAUCGAAGGGGUUAUCGCGGCAACGGUGUUGACUCGCCGAUCCGAAGAAAAGGAACCUCUCGCAAGCAACAUUUUCAUGGGUUUCACCGCACGCUCGCGAGCAUGAAAUCCGCGUGAUGUAGCGCUUACGGCUUUGUCGAGUCUCGCGAAAGGCGACGAGAAUGGCGGAGAAAGAGGGAGGAGGAAAAAGGAGAACAGAGGUUGCGAGCGAGCAGAGGGAGAAGGGGAAGAAAACGAAGGAGAC
Long non-coding RNA from Frieseomelitta varia, 1971 nucleotides. RefSeq lists it as uncharacterized. The record is from RefSeq and is a predicted model, not a curated record. NCBI's taxonomy places the organism in Eukaryota, Metazoa, Arthropoda, Insecta, Hymenoptera, Apidae. The transcript has 3 exons.